CAGGAAAAUGAAUAUGUUUUCCUGGCACUAUAGUGGUCCUUUAAAGGACCACUAUAGUGCCAGGAAAACACUAGUUUUCCUGGCACUAU
Molecule: microRNA precursor, 89 nt
Filed under: Pelobates cultripes (western spadefoot toad)
Lineage: Eukaryota; Metazoa; Chordata; Amphibia; Anura; Pelobatidae
Source: RNAcentral